Molecule: ribosomal RNA, 257 nt
Filed under: uncultured bacterium
Lineage: Bacteria
Description: partial 16S ribosomal RNA
Rfam family: Bacterial small subunit ribosomal RNA
Source: RNAcentral
UAACGCGUGGAGAACCUGCCGUAUACUGGGGGAUAACACUUAGAAAUAGGUGCUAAUACCGCAUAAGCGCACAGCUUCGCAUGAAGCAGUGUGGAAAACAAAAAGCUAAAGCUUUUGGUGGUAUACGAUGGAUCCGCGUCUGAUUAGCUGGUUGGCGGGGUAAAGGCCCACCAAGGCGACGAUCAGUAGCCGGCCUGAGAGGGUGAACGGCCACAUUGGGACUGAGACACGGCCCAAACUCCUACGGGAGGCAGCAG